AAUUGCAAGAGAGGAUAGAUCCAUUGAUGUCCACAGCCUCAACUCGUUUUUGCAUGUUCUUCUUCAGGAACAGUUGCUCUGCUCUGCAUGGUUCUCUCUUCUUUCUUUUUAGACUCCUUCUAUUUUACCAGUGCCGUCUGUCCUUCCUUUAGAACCUUAUCCUCCUUCAUCACCAUAUCUUGAAGUAUAAUAAGCAAAUACAAAUUUUUUUUUUCUGGGUGAUGGUGUCGAAGCAGGAGGUAACAAUGGUGAUAAAGACAUGCCACUGGAGUUCUUGACUUUACAUUCAUUCUUAUCUCUCUUAUCCUCUUA
Molecule: long non-coding RNA, 312 nt
Filed under: Brassica napus (rape)
Lineage: Eukaryota; Viridiplantae; Streptophyta; Magnoliopsida; Brassicales; Brassicaceae
Description: long non-coding RNA (BNAP_LNC023349)
Source: RNAcentral